This 746-nucleotide ribosomal RNA is filed under the name Listeria monocytogenes. RNAcentral describes it as "partial 23S ribosomal RNA". It matches the Rfam family "Bacterial large subunit ribosomal RNA", at positions 1 to 743 of the family's 2925-position model. The record is from RNAcentral. Lineage: Bacteria; Bacillati; Bacillota; Bacilli; Caryophanales; Listeriaceae.
GGUUAAGUUAGAAAGGGCGCACGGUGGAUGCCUUGGCACUAGGAGCCGAAGAAGGACGGGACUAACACCGAUAUGCUUUGGGGAGCUGUACGUAAGCGUUGAUCCAGAGAUUUCCGAAUGGGGGAACCCACUAUCUUUAGUCGGAUAGUAUCCUUACGUGAAUACAUAGCGUAAGGAAGGCAGACCCAGGGAACUGAAACAUCUAAGUACCUGGAGGAAGAGAAAGAAAAAUCGAUUUCCUGAGUAGCGGCGAGCGAAACGGAAAGAGCCCAAACCAAGAAGCUUGCUUCUUGGGGUUGUAGGACACUCUAUACGGAGUUACAAAAGAAAGUUAUAAAUGAAGCGGUCUGGAAAGGCCCGCCAAAGACGGUAACAGCCCGGUAGUUGAAAUGGCUUUCCCUCCAGAGUGGAUCCUGAGUACGGCGGAACACGUGAAAUUCCGUCGGAAUCCGGGAGGACCAUCUCCCAAGGCUAAAUACUCCCUAGUGACCGAUAGUGAACCAGUACCGUGAGGGAAAGGUGAAAAGCACCCCGGAAGGGGAGUGAAACAGUUCCUGAAACCGUGUGCCUACAAGUAGUUAGAGCCCGUUAAUGGGUGAUAGCGUGCCUUUUGUAGAAUGAACCGGCGAGUUACGAUUUGUUGCAAGGUUAAGCGGAAAAAGCGGAGCCGUAGCGAAAGCGAGUCUGAAUAGGGCGCAUAAGUAACAGGUCGUAGACCCGAAACCAGGUGAUCUACCCAUGUCCAG